This 236-nucleotide ribosomal RNA is filed under the name uncultured bacterium. RNAcentral describes it as "partial 16S ribosomal RNA". It matches the Rfam family "Bacterial small subunit ribosomal RNA", at positions 118 to 347 of the family's 1533-position model. The record is from RNAcentral.
UGAGGAACAUGACCUUCGGCGGGGGAGUAGCCGGCCCAACGGCCGGGUAAUACCGCGUACGACCACAUGGGGACAUCCCUGAGUGGUGAAAGCAGCAAUGCGCCGAUGGAGUGCCUCGCGGCCUAUCAGCUAGUUGGUGAGGUAACGGCUCACCAAGGCGACGACGGGUAGCUGGUCUGAGAGGAUGGCCAGCCACAUUGGGACUGAGACACCGGCCCAGACCUNUACCGGGGAGG